ACUCAACACUUUACAAUUAAAAAGGGUGAGUUUUGAUUGCUAAAACAUGCCGUUAUACCUUUUGGUAUCAGACGGAAGUUUGAUCAGUCAUGUAGCCCUAAUCCUGUCUAAUAGGAGUUU
This 120-nucleotide small RNA is filed under the name Mesohalobacter salilacus. RNAcentral's name for it is "Flavobacteriaceae bacterium 14752 6S RNA". It matches the Rfam family "6S-Flavo RNA". The record is from RNAcentral. Lineage: Bacteria; Pseudomonadati; Bacteroidota; Flavobacteriia; Flavobacteriales; Flavobacteriaceae.